UUUCCGUAGGUGAACCUGCGGAAGGAUCAUUACCACACCAAUCUCGGGGUCAUUUCGGUGACUCCGUUUCCGUUACGUGGAAACAACAUUUCUUUGGGGAGUGCUCUAGUCUAGUCUUGUACCAGUCUAGUAUCACUCGCCCAUCUCCGAGGGCUAACACCCGAGGAACCAUUUUCAUCCGCUUGAGCAAUCAAGUGUGAUACACCAAAACAUCAUGAUCGUGACGAUUCAUAGGUGCUGAAGUCUCACCGACAUCAGUGCCGUGCUAUGAAACGUAAAUAACACUUUCAGCAACGGAUGUCUUGGCUCCC
RNAcentral lists this unclassified non-coding RNA (311 nucleotides) under plant metagenome. RNAcentral's name for it is "partial contains small subunit ribosomal RNA, internal transcribed spacer 1, and 5.8S ribosomal RNA". The record is from RNAcentral.